This 489-nucleotide ribosomal RNA is filed under the name uncultured bacterium. RNAcentral's name for it is "bacterial SSU rRNA". It matches the Rfam family "Bacterial small subunit ribosomal RNA", at positions 28 to 517 of the family's 1533-position model. The record is from RNAcentral.
GAUGAACGCUGGCGGCGUGCCUAACACAUUCAAGUCGAACGGAGAUACUAGUGGAAGUUUUCGGAUGGAAGCUAAUAUCUUAGUGGCGGACGGGUGAGUAACGCGUGAGCAACCUGCCUUUGCAUUCGGGAUAACAGCCGGAAACGACUGCUAAUGCCGAAUAACGUACAUUGAUUGCAUGUUUGAUGUACCAAAGAUCCGUCGUGCAAAGAUGGGCUCGCGUCUGAUUAGAUAGUUGGUGAGGUAACGGCUCACCAAGUCGACGAUCAGUAGCCGGACUGAGAGGUUGAACGGCCACAUUGGAACUGAGAUACGGUCCAGACUCCUACGGGAGGCAGCAGUGGGGAAUAUUGGGCAAUGGGCGAAAGCCUGACCCAGCGACGCCGCGUGAGGGAAGAAGGUCUUCGGAUUGUAAACCUCUGUUGACAGGGAAGAAGAAAGUGACGGUACCUGUAAAGAAAGCCACGGCUAACUACGUGCCAGCAGCCG